Molecule: ribosomal RNA, 245 nt
Filed under: uncultured Gemmatimonas sp.
Lineage: Bacteria; Pseudomonadati; Gemmatimonadota; Gemmatimonadia; Gemmatimonadales; Gemmatimonadaceae
Description: partial 16S ribosomal RNA
Rfam family: Bacterial small subunit ribosomal RNA
Source: RNAcentral
UACGGAGGGUGCAAGCGUUGUCCGGAAUCACUGGGCGUAAAGGGCGCGUAGGCGGCUCAUGAAGGCUGUGGUGAAAGUCCGGGGCUCAACCUCGGAUCGGCCGUGGCGACUCGUGGGCUGGAGCACUGUAGAGGCGGGUGGAAUUCCGGGUGUAGCGGUGGAAUGCGUAGAGAUCCGGAAGAACACCAGUGGCGAAGGCGGCCCGCUGGGCAGUGGCUGACGCUGAAGCGCGACAGCGUGGGGAG